This 1074-nucleotide long non-coding RNA is filed under the name Apteryx rowi (Okarito brown kiwi). RNAcentral's name for it is "lncRNA (ENSARWG00000001958.1)". The record is from RNAcentral. Lineage: Eukaryota; Metazoa; Chordata; Aves; Apterygiformes; Apterygidae.
CUCCCCGCCCGUUUUCCGCGGCUACAGGUGACGUCAGCGCCCUGCGGCCCACCCUCUUCCGCCGGCGUAACACAUGCGUGGUAAGAGAGGGAGUUUGUCUCUUGGCCAAAUUUUCUCCUUCCUACCUGUGUGAUUGCAAGCACAAUCUGAAGACAGCUGUGGAUUGGAAGAGGAUCUUGCAUCAAUUGCCAGGGCUGGGAAUAUGAGUGGCUGCCUGAGAGGGUGCAUGUCCUGGAAAUAAGGAGCUCAGUGUAACAGUGUGAAAGUUGUGAAGUGCCGAAAGCCUAGAUCUUGCUUGAUUAAUGUAGCCUUUGAGAUUCUCAGCUUCUUGGCAGUGUGUCCCUAAAGAUUCUCUUUCUUCUCCAAGAUACAGAGGAGUAAACAGGGGAAGGGAGGAGAGUCCUGCUAAUACUGUUGAAGUGCAAGUAGGAGGCUGUGGAACAGCGGGAACAUCUGGUUUUCAAGUUUCAGUAACUGAAGUAACACAUUCUCAAGAAGUCAAGCUCCAAGGGGCUGCUGGGUGUAAAUAUAUCCUGAAGAUUAGUAUUUAUAAUGUUGAGAUUUGGGCAGCAUCUCAUCAAGCCCUCUGUGGUCUUCCUGAAGACGGAGCUCUCCUUUGCUCUUGUGAACCGGAAGCCAGUCGUCCCAGGGCGUAUCCUUUCAACCAGAGCCUCAAUCAUGAGCGCGUAUGGGCCGUUCAGCGUUCUGUGGAAAAGUGGGAGAUACUCUGCACGUUCUGAAGGCCAGCAGACAAGGUAUUGAUCUUUGGAUUUCUGUUCAGGAUGCCAUAAGGAGAACUAGCACAAAAGGAACACGGCAACGUUUGUAAAUAGAUUGAAUGCAAUAUGGAAUGACAGAGACAAACAUCAGAUCUAUGGCAGUACUAUAUCAUACAAAACAUUUUUCAACAGUUAUUGAAUUGGUUAUUAAAAAGAACAGGCUUUCUAACUGGGAACAGUGAGCUGAGAGUUAUCAGGAUCAAGCAAAUUUAAUAGUAAUUUGUGGUGAACAGUGUGGCCCCUUCAACAAGAGUGCGUGCAUCUGCAUGUAAUAAAUUAGAAUAAAUGCUUUACA